RNAcentral lists this ribosomal RNA (459 nucleotides) under uncultured bacterium. RNAcentral describes it as "partial 16S ribosomal RNA". It matches the Rfam family "Bacterial small subunit ribosomal RNA", at positions 338 to 795 of the family's 1533-position model. The record is from RNAcentral.
CCUACGGGUGACAGCAGUGAGGAAUAUUGGUCAAUGGGCGAGAGCCUGAACCAGCCAAGUAGCGUGAGGGAUGACUGCCCUAUGGGUUGUAAACUUCUUUUGUAUGGGGGGAAUAUGUUCUACGAGUAGAGUGUUGACAGUACCAUACGAAUAAGCAUCGGCUAACUCCGUGCCAGCAGCCGCGGUAAUACGGAGGAUGCGAGCGUUAUCCGGAUUUAUUGGGUUUAAAGGGGGCGUAGGCGGCAUUAUAAGUUAGUGGUAAAAUAUUGGGGCUUAACCUAACUACGCCAUUUAUACUGUAAGGCUAGAGAACAGACGAGGUAGGCGGAAUAAGUUAAGUAGCGGUGAAAUGCAUAGAUAUAACGUAGAACACCGAUAGCGAAGGCAGCUUACCGGACUGAGUCUGACGCUGAUGCUCGAGAGUAUGGGUAGCAAACAGGAUUAGAUACCCUUGUAGUC